GACGAACGCUGGCGGCGUGCUUAACACAUGCAAGUCGAACGGAAAGGCCCUGCUUUUGUGGGGUGCUCGAGUGGCGAACGGGUGAGUAACACGUGAGUAACCUGCCCUUGACUUUGGGAUAACUUCAGGAAACUGGGGCUAAUACCGGAUAGGAGCUCCUGCUGCAUGGUGGGGGUUGGAAAGUUUCGGCGGUUGGGGAUGGACUCGCGGCUUAUCAGCUUGUUGGUGGGGUAGUGGCUUACCAAGGCUUUGACGGGUAGCCGGCCCGAGAGGGUGACCGGCCACAUUGGGACUGAGAUACGGCCCAGACUCCUACGGGACGCAGCAGUGGGGAAUAUUGCACAAUGGGCGGAAGCCUGAUGCAGCCACACCGCGUGCGGGAUAACGGCCUUCGAGUUGUAAACCGCUUUCGCCUGUAACGAAGCGUGAGUGACGGUAAUUGGUAAAGAAGCACCGGCUAACUACGUG
This 468-nucleotide ribosomal RNA is filed under the name uncultured bacterium. RNAcentral's name for it is "partial 16S ribosomal RNA". It matches the Rfam family "Bacterial small subunit ribosomal RNA", at positions 28 to 507 of the family's 1533-position model. The record is from RNAcentral.